GGCGGCAGCAGCGCGGAGGCGGCGGGAGACGGCGGGGCCCCGCUCCAGCAGGCGGCUUCAUCAACCAGAAGCCCACCAGGCCCAGAGAACAGCAACCUCGACCAUCAGUGCCCAGAAAGCAACAAGAAGCCCUUGGGGCAGUCCACAAUAUUAUAUGAUUACUCAGAGGAGGAGCUCAUGGCAAGCAUCGAGCGGGAGUACUGCCGCUGAACCCAGUUCCCUGCCUCGAGGGUGUCAGGCAUGGUCCUGGGAGCCCAGCUGAGCAGAACUGCUACAGACAACACGUCUCACACAGCCAGACAGCACGGGAGAGGUGGGUGGUGGAGGCUCCUGGGGCAUCAGGGGCAGCAUGGCUGCUUGGGAUGCACGGAGGAGAAAGUUCACCUGGUCUGCUCCUAGUGAGAGCAUGAAGAUCUUCACCAGCUGCUGAUUUCUGACUGGUGUCACUGGAAGAGGGACCAAUUCAUCUUAAGAAUCAAUAUUUAGAAGCUCAUUUCUGAAUGCUGUUUAUAAAUGAACAUGUACUAGAAUGAGGUGUUGAAAUGUGGUGCUUUGAAGGAAGAUCUUGCUUUGAACUUAGUAAAAAAAAAAAAGAAAAAGCAGUAAUAUCAUCUGAUCCAGAACUUCAGAGGAUAUUGAAUGAAAUUUAAUGUUUCUGCCACUUAAAAUGUGCCAAAUGUACUCUUUGUGCUGUGCAAGCCUCAGGUCCAGGUCUGAAUUUGGCACUGUCUCUUUCAAUCUGGUCCCCAGUAUGGGAGAUAACAGGAAGGGAGGAUUGAUCCCACCAUCUAGUGCAUAGGCAGUGUAAUCUCAGAGUCCAAAUCCUACCACACUGGCAAAUUAGGAACACAAGAUUUGUAUGAUCCCCUUGGGGCAGGAUCCCACCAUAGGUGUCCUACCUGGGGCUCCUGGGCGUGGAUCCAUCGCAGUGAUGGAAGUGAAAGCAGGAGGCACAUCCCCAUUUCAGUCAUCCCUCUCAAGAGGGUUUUGCAUGCUCUUGUAGAGCAGCUAUUUGGGAUCAGUUUUCAGCAUUGCCCCUCCUGGCCUUUCCCUAAUAUUUCUUGCAUUUUACCAUUAGCUGACUGCAAAGUAAACCAGAAAGUUCUCUCUCCUAAGGAAAUAGUAUUUUCAGUGCUCCCAGACAGGGAAGCUUGGUAUUUUGGGUUUCUGCUUUUGUUAUACCCGCAUCUUAACAUAUUAUGAGUAUCUGCUUAUUGUCAGAAAUAGAAAAAUACUUUAUUUCUAUCUUCAGCUGAAACAUAAAAGGCAUCAGUUUAAAUUUUCACUACAUGUAAAUGCAAAAAAACCCUGCAGAACACCUCUUAAGAUGCUGUAUUCUAAAUACUUUAUGAUUCCUGGGACCUGUGAAACAGAAAUAAAUGCAUCUGUACUCUGAA
Molecule: long non-coding RNA, 1397 nt
Organism: Catharus ustulatus (Swainson's thrush)
Lineage: Eukaryota; Metazoa; Chordata; Aves; Passeriformes; Turdidae
Exons: 3
Source: RefSeq, a predicted model, not a curated record